Molecule: ribosomal RNA, 451 nt
Filed under: Triticum aestivum (bread wheat)
Lineage: Eukaryota; Viridiplantae; Streptophyta; Magnoliopsida; Poales; Poaceae
Description: partial small subunit ribosomal RNA
Source: RNAcentral
AUGGGAAGAACAUGUGUGUUUGUUCAUCAUGGGGACAAAGACGCCUUUUUGAAAGGCAAUAAAGAACCGGACCCGGAUGAGUUUGACAUGGUGUUUGAUAGUAGUCCUAGCUAUGCGGAGCUCUUGCAACAAGUUAGGAAAGAUUUGAAUUGGAUGGACCCUAGUGAUAUCAUUGAGUUGGAGGGAAGGCAUAAUGUUGGUUUUGGAAUGCACAUCCGUUGGAAGACAAUGCGUGUAAACUCGGAGCAACGUUGGGUUGCAUACAAGGAGACGGUGGCCGAAUCACUAGACAAGGCUCUUGAGUUAUUUGCAACGAAGAAGGUUGAUUCAAGUUUGCAUUUGGACUUGAACCGGAACCCCUCCCCUUUGGUUGCUAGUAGCCCCCCAUCCUUGAAGCGAGAUGAAAUUGUUGAACCUCUUUUGACCCAAGAAGUGAGGCCAACAUUGAGCC